RNAcentral lists this ribosomal RNA (578 nucleotides) under uncultured Gammaproteobacteria bacterium. Its description in RNAcentral is "bacterial SSU rRNA". It matches the Rfam family "Bacterial small subunit ribosomal RNA", at positions 1 to 575 of the family's 1533-position model. The record is from RNAcentral. Lineage: Bacteria; Pseudomonadati; Pseudomonadota; Gammaproteobacteria.
UGAGUUUGAUCAUGGCUCAGAUUGAACGCUGGCGGCAGGCCUAACACAUGCAAGUCGAGCGGUAACAGGACUAGCUUGCUAGUUGCUGACGAGCGGCGGACGGGUGCGUAACACGUAGGAAUCUGCCCGGUAGUGGGGGAUAGCCCGGAGAAAUCCGGAUUAAUACCGCAUACGCCUUACGAGGGAAAGGAGGGGCCUCUUCGGAGCCUUUCGCUAUCGGAUGAGCCUGCGUCGGAUUAGCUAGUUGGUGGGGUAAAGGCCUACCAAGGCGACGAUCCGUAGCUGGUCUGAGAGGAUGAUCAGCCACACUGGGACUGAGACACGGCCCAGACUCCUACGGGAGGCAGCAGUGGGGAAUAUUGCACAAUGGGGGAAACCCUGAUGCAGCCAUGCCGCGUGUGUGAAGAAGGCUCUAGGGUUGUAAAGCACUUUCAGCGAGGAGGAAAGGUUGCUGGUUAAUACCCAGCGGCUGUGACGUUACUCGCAGAAGAAGCACCGGCUAACUCCGUGCCAGCAGCCGCGGUAAUACGGAGGGUGCGAGCGUUAAUCGGAAUUACUGGGCGUAAAGCGUGCGUAGG